AUUACAUAGGGUGUGCUGAUGAAUUACAGUAACGAUCAAAUACUCAGGAUGUGGAGCCUAGACAUCCAUCCAGUCUUCCCUUCCCCUGCACCAUGAACCAGCACAUUGAAGGUCAUACUAUUAAACAUUUCGUCACCCCAGAAUAUAGGAUUGUGUUGAUCAGCCAGUCCUGAUGUUUGCCCACCAAAAACUCCAGCACUCCUCUCUUGUCGGCAUGGGGUCCAUGCAUGCCUCAGUCCUCUCAUCCUCACAGGUUUUUCUCCACCAAGAAUGACUGACAGAUCCUGGGGCAGAAGAGACUACAGAGGAUCAAGUAGAAUCGAAUGCUGACACAAUGGGAACAAGACUGACAUGUGCAAGCAAG
This is a long non-coding RNA of Eriocheir sinensis (Chinese mitten crab), 364 nucleotides long. RefSeq lists it as uncharacterized. NCBI's taxonomy places the organism in Eukaryota, Metazoa, Arthropoda, Malacostraca, Decapoda, Varunidae. The record is from RefSeq and is a predicted model, not a curated record. The transcript has 3 exons.